RNAcentral lists this ribosomal RNA (956 nucleotides) under uncultured SAR86 cluster bacterium. RNAcentral's name for it is "bacterial SSU rRNA". It matches the Rfam family "Bacterial small subunit ribosomal RNA", at positions 394 to 1344 of the family's 1533-position model. Lineage: Bacteria; Pseudomonadati; Pseudomonadota; Gammaproteobacteria. The record is from RNAcentral.
AUACCGCGUGUGUGAAGAAGGCCUUCGGGUUGUAAAGCACUUUAAGCAGGGAGAAAAAGUUAUAGGUUAAUACCCUAUGACCUUGAUGUUACCUGCAGAAUAAGCACCGGCUAAUUCCGUGCCAGCAGCCGCGGUAAUACGGAAGGUGCAAGCGUUAAUCGGAAUUACUGGGCGUAAAGCGCGCGUAGGUGGUUUGUUAAGUUGGAUGUGAAAGCCCUGGGCUCAACCUAGGAACUGCAUCCAAAACUAACUCACUAGAGUACGAUAGAGGGAGGUAGAAUUCAUAGUGUAGCGGUGGAAUGCGUAGAUAUUAUGAAGAAUACCAGUGGCGAAGGCGGCCUCCUGGAUCUGUACUGACACUGAGGUGCGAAAGCGUGGGUAGCGAACAGGAUUAGAUACCCUGGUAGUCCACGCCGUAAACGGUGACAACUAGCUGUUGGGAGACUAUGUCUUUCAGUGGCGCAGCUAACGCUUUAAGUUGUCCGCCUGGGGAGUACGGCCGCAAGGCUAAAACUCAAAUGAAUUGACGGGGACCCGCACAAGCGGUGGAGCAUGUGGUUUAAUUCGAUGCAACGCGAAAAACCUUACCUACUCUUGACAUACUUGGAGGCUCUUGUAAUGAGAGUGUGCCUUUUGGAACCAAGAUACAGGUGCUGCAUGGCUGUCGUCAGCUCGUGUCGUGAGAUGUUCCGUUAAGUCGGAUAACGAGCGCAACCCUUACCCUUAUUUGCCAGCGAUUCGGUCGGGAGCUAUAAGGGGACUGCCGGUGAUAAACCGGAGGAAGGUGAGGACGACGUCAAGUCAUCAUGGCCCUUACGAGUAGGGCUACACACGUGCUACAAUGGAGAAUACAGACGGACGCUAAGCCGCGAGGUGGUGCUAAUCCUAGAAAGUUCUUCGUAGUCCGGAUUGGAGUCUGCAACUCGACUCCAUGAAGUCGGAAUCGCUAGUAAUCG